UACGCAGUGAAUCAUGAAAUGACGUAAUUAUUCGAGUGUUUGGGUUUUUUAAAUAAAGGGACUGGGUAAAUAUUAAGUUUCAAUGAUACGGGGAUACGGUGAUACGCAGUGAAGGAAAUUACGUAAUUAUUCGAGUGUUUCGGUAUUUAAAUAAACGGGGAAUCGUUAAUCAAAUAAUUAAUCUAUAUUCUAUUUUCAAUAAUAAGGAGUUAUAAAUAUAUUAUAUUUCUCGUUCUUAAAUACUUAAUAAACACCGGACAAAAUAUUACUCAUAUAUUGUAUUUCUCGUUCUCAAUAAACCCCGCACAAAAUAUUACUCAUAUAUUGUAUUUCUCUACAGUAUAUUCUAUAUUUUCAGUACUAAAGGGUUACAAAUAUACUGUAUUUCUCGUUCUCAAUAAACCCCUAAACCCGCAAAAAAUAUUACUCAUAUAUUGUAUUUCUCGUUCUCAAUAAACCCCGCACAAAAUAUUACUCGUAUAUUGUAGUUCUCGUUCUCAAUAAACCCCGCACAAAAAUUACUCAUAUAUUGUAUUUCUCGUUCUCAAUAAACCCCGCACAAAAUAUUACGUAUCAUUGAAAUAUAAUAGUUACCCACUCUCCUCUUAAACUACUCGAAUAAUUACGUCAUUUUCUUCACUGCGUAUCCCCGUAUCAUUGAAAUAUAAUAGUUACCAAUUCUCCUCUUAAACUACUCGAAUAAUUACGUCAUUUUAAUGACUGCGUAUCCCC
This is a non-coding RNA of Paramuricea clavata, 732 nucleotides long. NCBI's taxonomy places the organism in Eukaryota, Metazoa, Cnidaria, Anthozoa, Malacalcyonacea, Plexauridae. The record is from the annotation of a GenBank genome assembly.